GAUGAACGCUGGCGGCGUGCCUAAUACAUGCAAGUCGAGCGAACAGACGAGGAGCUUGCUCCUCUGACGUUAGCGGCGGACGGGUGAGUAACACGUGGAUAACCUACCUAUAAGACUGGGAUAACUUCGGGAAACCGGAGCUAAUACCGUAUAAUAUAUUGAACCGCAUGGUUCAAUAGUGAAAUACGGUUUUGCUGUCACUUAUAGAUGGAUCCGCGCCGCAUUAGCUAGUUGGUAAGGUAACGGCUUACCAAGGCAACAAUGCGUAGCCGACCGGAGAGGGUGAUCGCCCACACUGGACCUGAGACCCGGCCCAGACUCCUCCGGGAGGCAGCAGUAGGGAAUCUUCCGCAAUGGGCGAAAGCCUGACGGAGCACCGCCGCGUGAGUGAUGAAGGUCUUCGGAUCGUAAGACUCUGUUAUUAGGGAAGAACAAUUGUGUAAGUAAAUAUGCACGUCUUGACGGUACCUAAUCAGAAAGCCACGGCUAACUACGUG
RNAcentral lists this ribosomal RNA (497 nucleotides) under uncultured bacterium. RNAcentral's name for it is "partial 16S ribosomal RNA". It matches the Rfam family "Bacterial small subunit ribosomal RNA", at positions 28 to 507 of the family's 1533-position model. The record is from RNAcentral.